Molecule: small RNA, 408 nt
Filed under: Cryptococcus neoformans H99
Lineage: Eukaryota; Fungi; Basidiomycota; Tremellomycetes; Tremellales; Cryptococcaceae
Description: Cryptococcus neoformans var. grubii H99 hypothetical RNA
Source: RNAcentral
GGAAUACGGAUGCUAAACCUAAUUAAAACUAGAUCCGCAACUCUUAGAACUUGAUCUUAAUUCCGCAGUCCAUCCGAUUGUCACCAGGCAAUAGCUUCGACAACGCCUCUUUUUCUCGAUCUCUCACCAACAAUAACAAAUGACUCAUUCCAUGAACUUAAUGUUAGGAAUAUCCUUUUGGUGUAUAUUUACCAGCAAAGAUCAAAAAGCCUUGUUGAUGGCGGGGAAUACGUAAGGAACUAGCUGUAGUGCAGAAGAAAAGAGGAAUAUCUACGCAGCAAUCAGUGUGACACGUAUCGUAGAAUUUCAGUAUUCAUCCUUCGCAGAUACUGCGGCAAAUGCAAAGGACCAAGCUGUAUUCAUACUCGUAGAAGUAGACCCAAUAAUAUACACGAUCAUUUAAUUCUC